This 4304-nucleotide long non-coding RNA is filed under the name Homo sapiens (human). Its description in RNAcentral is "HSALNT0071242". The record is from RNAcentral. Lineage: Eukaryota; Metazoa; Chordata; Mammalia; Primates; Hominidae.
GAAGAUACAUUGGUUCUGACCAUCAUGCUUUGCUGACCUCACCACACUAUUGUGGGGAAAAUCCCUACCAUAGCAAGCAUUGGGUAAAUUAUUAUCUACUCUUGCACAAAAUAAAUCAAUCAGCUCUACAAUCUAUUGCUCCAGAAGAGUUCAUCUUUUGCCCUAGGUGAGUGUUUGUUAUUUGGAUAUAAUUUAAAACACACUGCUUUCAAAAAUACUUAAUUUGUUUUUAUUUUUAUGAUGCAUAAAAUUGUGUAUCCUGUUUAAAGCAGGGUUUUAUGGUGCCAAAUAAGUAAACUCCUAUUGAUGAGAACUUCAAAAACCAAAAGAACACCUGGUCCUGGUAGGGAUUAAAACAAACAGAAAAGAGUAUUAAAUUCUAGGCAAGCAGUACCUUCCUUGUAUCACCCAGAAGAUAGAGAAACUCAGAAAGAAAACAAAAUGCAACAGUGAGAAAGAGAUUCACAAAGGUACUUGCUCCCCACAAAUUCUGCACCUUCCUCCAUGCUUCCUGUUCCCUCUACCAAACCUCCAAGAAGUGAAGGAAAACAGAUGAGUUGCUCAAUCCAUUCGUCUACCUGACUGGGGAAUCUAAAUGUCCAUUUCCUCUUGCACUGCUCCAGGCUGGAGAAGAAUUCGGUGUAGCAGCUUCUGAGAAGUUGAAGGAGGGGCCAGGCAGAAACUGUCCUAGAGUAAGCACUGAGGGGAGCAAUGCACUUGGCAUACUCAGAGCUGAAACACUUCCAGUGGAGGUCACCUGCAGCCACUGGCAGCCUUAUUUGCAUUUUCUGAAGCCCCCUCUUUUCCCCAUCCUUGGAGUCAAGGUACAUUUACCUGCUGAGAAGUCAGAAGUCUCCCUCUGAUGCAACACAUGUGGCAUUUUCUGAAGCUGAUAGUGUUCAUGGAAAAGGGCAAAGAAUGCUUUUAUGCCCAUUCAGAGAAGAAGUCCCUUAAAUAAACAGUGUUUUCUGUGCCUUGGAACCUGCAAACCCGGGGACUCAGUCCUACUCAUCACAGGCUAAUUCCCCGGCAUGACAUAGCCUUCUAGCUCAAUUGAGCAUGUCCAAAAUGUGAGCAUGUUAGAGGCUUGUUAAAACACAGAUUGCUGGGUCCCACCCCACGGGUUCCAUAGGUCUGAGAUGGGGCCCCCAAAACAUGCAUUUCUAACAAGCUCCCAGGUAAUUCUGAUGCUGCUGGUAUGGGAAAAACACACACAAAGCUCCAGAGAGAGCUUUGUAGAAUUCCUGCCGCUCUGUUAACACAUGCAACACCAUUCCUAUACACCGGAGCUUCAAACAUUCCAGAAUACCAUAUUAUUUAAAAUCUCAGAUGCACAAGUAAGUGUUCGAAGUUAGAGGUAGUGGGAGUGAAGAAAUAAGGACAGGUUGAGCCCAGACUGAACAGUAACUUAAGAAUAAACCUCUUGAGGACUGGUGGAUCCAAUAAAGAGGAAGCUGAGAGAGCUUGUUUAUAGUCAGGCUUUCUACCUGCUUUCUGAGAGCACCAAAGUUGGUCUGGGCAAAGCCAGUCUUACCCUGCCCUGCCCUGCCCUGCCCGGACCUGCCCAAAGUGUUUUCUCCUUUCUCAGGAGGGAAUAGACUUAUAUCCCAGGCACAGGAUAGUGGCUGUAUUUGCAUUCCCUUCCCAGGAAAAGACAGGAGCAUCUCUCCUGCCUGCCCUAUGGACCCGUUAGCAUCUCCUCCAUCAAGUUCCCAUUUGGACCCUAGGAGUUCAAUAUCAACAGCUGAAAGGAAGGUAUCCUGAAUCUCAUAUGCAGUCACAGUUCUGGAAAGUCUGGAGGUCAGGAGCUACAAAGUGGAUGAGGGACCUGACUCUUGUCUUAUCCAAAUGACUUUACCCAUGUCAUUCUCUCUAAAUGGAUAUCCCUUUCUCCUGGGUCUCUUGGUGAACUCCUAGCCUUCUUUCAAAUCUCCACUCAGGCAUUUCGUCUCUGGGAAGCAAUCCUCAGCAUCUUGGGUAGACUCCGCAGAUCUCCUCUGUGCUUUUGCUCGAGGACAUCCACACUUCAGUACUGUGUGAGUCUAAGAGACAGGACCAACGUUCUUAACUUGUGAGUAUCCCUAGCCUGUCUCCUCUCUCCUCACCAUCGAAAGAGGCCUUUUCCCAUUGGUUUUUGCCACUCUCCCUGGGGAUAAAGAUUUCCCUUGCAGAAUUAUUCUUUUCUGUAAUAUAGCAUCAAAAGUUAGGGAGAGAAAAAUGAAGAGGCAGAAGGAAAGGAGGAUAUUUAGUAGAGAUGAAAGGCAUGUGGACUCGGGCUAGAAAGAUUUCUUUUCUCUCUACAAGGGUAAAGGGAAAAGUGCACAGGCCAGGGCAGUUUUCUGCAGCGUUUUGAGGAAAGAGUGCCAGGGCAGACUCAGGGUGUGAGGAAGUGGAUAGAAAAUGGAAGGAGGCUGAAUUAAGGGUAGCCUGUGUAGAUUCCAUUUACAGAGUUUGAAAAUACAAGGUUGGGCACAGUGGCUCACGCCUGUAAUCCCAGCACUUCAGGAGCCCAAGGUGGGCGGAUCAUGAGGUCAGGAGAUCGAGACCAUUCUGGCCAACAUGGUGAAACCCUGUCUCUACUAAAAUACACAAAAAAAUAAGCGGGGCAUAGUGGUGCGCACCUGUAGUCCCAGCUGCUCGGGAGGCUGAGGCAGGAGAAUGGCGUGAACCCAGGAGGCGGAGGUUGCAGUGAGCCGAGAUUGCGCCACUGCACUCCAGCAGCCUGGUGACAGAGCAAUACUCUGUCAAAAAAAGAAGAAGAAGAAGGAGAAGGAGAAAGAGCAAAGAACUUAAGUUUUUCUGAAAUAUCUUUCACUCCCUCUUUCUUUGACUGCUCUGGGACUAUAUGUUUUUGUUGGGUUACAUUUUAGUCCUUCUCUAAAGUCCUUUGAUUUUGCCCUUCUCAGUGUUGGGCACAGAGGCUGGCCCAUGAUAUUAUAUAAGGUUGAUGUAAAAGUAAAUGCAAAAUCGAGUAAUGGCAAAAACCACAAUUAACGUUUGCACCAACCUAACAGAUGUGCAGACUGGGUUAGCCUCUCUCCUCCCUUCUUUCCUCUGUCAGUCUUGAGAAGCCCAUCGUGCUGAAAGGGCGACAGCAUGGAUCAGGGGCUGACAGGACAACUGGAGGGAGAGAGGCCAAUAAAACAUCCCCCUAAGCCUCCCUGGACCGAAUACCAGCCACAUAGUGCUGAUCUUGGCUGGAAGCCCACCAUUUACCAACCCCCUACGGGCCUCUGGGGUAUGGCUAAUUAAAGACAUGGUUACUCAUUUCAUUCCCAAGUCACUAUUUAAGGAAGCAGAAUCAUGCCAUUCCUACAAGGCCUCUGACCCUACACUAGAGGCAAACAAUGCUAAGGCUUGUCCAAGUGGCUGUAAGUACAAGGCUAUCCAAAGAGCACGGGAGGGGGCAGAGGAGGGGAGACCACAGGCCCCACAGCUGGGCCAGCUGCUGGACUGUCCCUUCUUCAAUGUCCUCCUCUCUCCCUUUCCCCAAGGGGCCAGGAUCUAGUGACAACCCCUCUAUAACCAACCCCCCUGCCAGGGCAACUCCUGUGUUUUCUGGGCAUACUCAGAGUCACACAGCUGACUCAGAAAAAAGCACCAAAACGAUCUCCUUUUGAAUUUCAACUAGCAGCAAUUUGGAGCGUUUGGGAUUUUUCAGUUAUUCUUUAAGAAGUAAAGAAAAACAUGGCUUUUAAUCAACUAACUCUUGUUGAGAUCUGCUCUAUGCCAGGCCUGGUGCUAAGAUGAGGAAGAACAAUGUAUGAAAUGUAAUUCCUGCCCUCAAAGAGUAUCUAGUCUUAUAGAUGAAAUAGACACAUAAACAAAUAAAUUACACCAAUGCGGAAUAAGCAUAAACGCAGAUAUGUACUAAGCACAGUACAGAGUAGGUGGUGAUAACCUCUCACUGACAGGAGAAGAAAGGUAUGCUAGAAAUCUAAGGCGGGCUUUGAGGGGCAAAUGGGAGUUCAUCAGGUAACCAAGUGAGGGAAGAACAUCCCCAGCAGAGAAAAAUCCUAUGCGAAUUCAUUUAGAUCACAGAGAAAUAGGUUGAACCUACUAGUUCCAGUGGGUCUCAAGCUUUUUUAACAAACAACUCUUAAUACAAGAUAAAUGGGGAAUGGGGAUGCCUGUUCUGAAACAUCCAGUGCAAGCAUAAAAUGUCUUAGACUGGCCAGGUGUGUUGGCUCAUGAUUAUAAUCCCAGCACUUUGGGAGCCCAAGGCAAGAGGAUUGCUUGAGGCCACGAGUUUGCAGCUGCAGUGAGCUAUGGAUUCCACCACUGCACUUCAGCCUGGGUGAUGG